CACCUCUGCGCAUGCGUCUGGUCCGGCCGUUCGAGAGAAAAAGUCCUCCGUCUUUUGGUUUUCGAAAUUAACAAGAUAUGCCCAUAUUUGCCCGGAAGCGUGUGACACAUUCUCCCCUGCUUCUCUUUCCUUUGAUUUAUUCUUAUUUGGCCGAACGACUGGGACGACGCCGUGGGUCGAGCCUGGCAUGGACGAAGACAGCCAUGCCUGUCAGGCCCCCAGCCUCACGCCGCUAUAAAUAGCCGGGGACGUGGGGUUGUCGGUCUCUUUGUGCGAUGGUCUCGCUGCACCGGUUUGGGGAGUGCUGCUUUGCCCCCCUCGGGGCUGUCGGGCUCCCUCCCCGACACCCGGGGAGGCGAUGGCCCGGGCUUCCUGCGAGUGGGUGUCUCGGGGCCCUGCGGGUCCCUGGUCCCCGCAGGCGUGUCCGCAGCGCCGCGAGGGUUUCUUAA
Molecule: long non-coding RNA, 449 nt
Filed under: Neogale vison (American mink)
Lineage: Eukaryota; Metazoa; Chordata; Mammalia; Carnivora; Mustelidae
Description: Neovison vison (American mink) lncRNA (ENSNVIG00000015244.1)
Source: RNAcentral